GCAGUUCCCAGGUUCUAAAGUCCCACGCACCCCGCGGGACUCAUAUUUUUCCCAGACGCGGAGGUUGGGGUCAUGGCGCCCCGAAGCCUCCUCCUGCUGCUCUCAGGGGCCCUGGCCCUGACCGAUACUUGGGCGGGUGAGUGCGGGGUCCAGAGAGAAACGGCCUCUGUGGGGAGGAGUGAGGGGCCCGCCCGGUGGGGGCGCAGGACUCAGGGAGCCGCGCCCGGAGGAGGGUCUGGCGGGUCUCAGCCCCUCCUCGCCCCCAGGCUCCCACUCCUUGAGGUAUUUCAGCACCGCUGUGUCGCGGCCCGGCCGCGGGGAGCCCCGCUACAUCGCCGUGGAGUACGUAGACGACACGCAAUUCCUGCGGUUCGACAGCGACGCCGCGAUUCCGAGGAUGGAGCCGCGGGAGCCGUGGGUGGAGCAAGAGGGGCCGCAGUAUUGGGAGUGGACCACAGGGUACGCCAAGGCCAACGCACAGACUGACCGAGUGGCCCUGAGGAACCUGCUCCGCCGCUACAACCAGAGCGAGGCUGGGUCUCACACCCUCCAGGGAAUGAAUGGCUGCGACAUGGGGCCCGACGGACGCCUCCUCCGCGGGUAUCACCAGCACGCGUACGACGGCAAGGAUUACAUCUCCCUGAACGAGGACCUGCGCUCCUGGACCGCGGCGGACACCGUGGCUCAGAUCACCCAGCGCUUCUAUGAGGCAGAGGAAUAUGCAGAGGAGUUCAGGACCUACCUGGAGGGCGAGUGCCUGGAGUUGCUCCGCAGAUACU
RNAcentral lists this unclassified non-coding RNA (779 nucleotides) under Homo sapiens (human). Its description in RNAcentral is "major histocompatibility complex, class I, F (multiple genes)". The record is from RNAcentral. Lineage: Eukaryota; Metazoa; Chordata; Mammalia; Primates; Hominidae.